GUGCCUAAAUUUAAUGAGUAAGGAAAACCAAUCGGCCUUGCUAAUCGCUUGGCAGUUUGGCUUCAAGGCAGAGGGAUGAGGGCAGCUCAGUGCGGCCCGAGUCCCUUGAAGCUCAAUUUUUGUAGGGGCACAGGUCGUCCCCGACGAGCGGCCUUGGAGAAUCAGCACACUACUUUCGUGCUGGGAUGCCAAGGCAGCUUUGGGUGUAGCGAUCUGCCCA
Small nuclear RNA from Scaptodrosophila lebanonensis, 220 nucleotides. RefSeq annotates it as U12 minor spliceosomal RNA. The record is from RefSeq and is a predicted model, not a curated record. NCBI's taxonomy places the organism in Eukaryota, Metazoa, Arthropoda, Insecta, Diptera, Drosophilidae. The transcript has a single exon.